GGAAGGCUUGAGCCAAGGCAUAGAAGGAGUAGGUAGAGCCCUAGUGGAAGCUGUUGGAGACCCCAUGGAGGAGAGGCAGUGGAGGGAAAACCUGCUACACAAGAAGUGACAGAGGAUGAACUCUGCAGGAACAGGUCAGGUUCUGAUGGGGGAGGCUCUGAGGUAGGCCCAGUUAGAACACUUCACUGGGGACUGAGAGGGAUGGAAGACUUAUUAGUUUAGAGGUUUACUUGAACUUUGUUGGACUUUUUUGUGAUCCUGGAAGAGUGUUACUUGGCUGGAAGGAUGAGCCAUGGAAGACCAGUGGUAGGCAGAUGGCCUGCAGGAGGCCACAGAGCUGAAGCUACGGGCAAUAUUCACACACUGAUACAAGGGGCUUAACUUGUGGACUGCUGCUUCAUUCACUGCAAUGAUGGAUCUGCUCUGGGGAUGAAUAAGGCUGUGGAAUGAAGGAGAUUGUUGUCAGGAAGAGCUCUACUUCAUCUGUUCCUGGAGUUGGAAACAAUGGAAUUUAACUGACUUAACUGGAGUGGCCAGAUCUUCUGGUCCAGCCAAGCUGUGCUUGAUACAAGACUGGUGGAUGGCAGAAGCAAAGAUGGCUUCAAAUCAACUGUGUGGCUCUCAGUUCCUGAGGCCUUCUGACUACAGGAACUGUUUACACCUUCCUUGAUGUAAACUAAAGCAGUCUAAUGGCUACUGUAACAUACGCUGGGUGCUCACAACUCCCAGAGGCCACUCUGGCACCCAGGGAUUUCUGGGAUAUAGAGAUUCCCUAUGUCCCAUCUCUCCUGGAAAUGCAACUUGACUAAUAGGGUCAUGAAGAGAGCAGGGAGAGGAUGCUCUGGUGGUGGCUAUAUAGGAAGAAGCUUCAAAGGGCUAGUUAAACAGGCUUUAGGUUGGUUUGUUUUUGCCAUAAUACUGCUAAGCAGCCAGACUGGGGCUGGGGCUCAGGCCCUGUAUGUUUAAACAAAGUCUACUCAACUUCCUUCACAUUUUACAAAACUUGAUCUGAUAUUGUCCCUUUCUGCAACAUGGCCAAAAUGGCAAAUGUCUCCCAUUCUCCUUUAGGUAGCAUGUGUGAAAAUAAAACAUCUCUGUAAAAUCGUAUUGCAUUUCCCUCAGCAGAAUAAAUGAGAAUUGAUACAUUUGUAUUUGCAACUAGAUUAAUCCCUAAAAUACAAAUGGGCAAGAUUGUUUCAGAAACUCCUA
This is a long non-coding RNA of Mauremys reevesii (Reeves's turtle), 1209 nucleotides long. RefSeq lists it as uncharacterized. NCBI's taxonomy places the organism in Eukaryota, Metazoa, Chordata, Testudines, Geoemydidae. The record is from RefSeq and is a predicted model, not a curated record. The transcript has 3 exons.